UACGUAGGGGGCAAGCGUUGUCCGGAAUUAUUGGGCGUAAAGAGCGUGUAGGCGGCCAGGUAGGUCUGCUGUGAAAACUCGAGGCUCAACCUCGAGACGUCGGCGGAAACCAUCUGGCUAGAGUCCGGAAGAGGAGAGUGGAAUUCCUGGUGUAGCGGUGAAAUGCGCAGAUAUCAGGAGGAACACCCGUGGCGAAAGCGGCUCUCUGGGACGGUACUGACGCUGAGACGCGAAAGCGUGGGGAGCAAACAGG
Molecule: ribosomal RNA, 253 nt
Filed under: uncultured bacterium
Lineage: Bacteria
Description: partial 16S ribosomal RNA
Rfam family: Bacterial small subunit ribosomal RNA
Source: RNAcentral